RNAcentral lists this transfer RNA (76 nucleotides) under Candidatus Saccharimonadota bacterium. Its description in RNAcentral is "tRNA-Phe". It matches the Rfam family "tRNA". Rfam says of the family: Transfer RNA (tRNA) molecules are approximately 80 nucleotides in length. Their secondary structure includes four short double-helical elements and three loops (D, anti-codon, and T loops). Further hydrogen bonds mediate the characteristic L-shaped molecular structure. tRNAs have two regions of fundamental functional importance: the anti-codon, which is responsible for specific mRNA codon recognition, and the 3' end, to which the tRNAs corresponding amino acid is attached (by aminoacyl-tRNA synthetases). tRNAs cope with the degeneracy of the genetic code in two manners: having more than one tRNA (with a specific anti-codon) for a particular amino acid; and 'wobble' base-pairing, i.e. permitting non-standard base-pairing at the 3rd anti-codon position. The record is from RNAcentral. RNAcentral also lists the same sequence under 3 other names. Lineage: Bacteria; Candidatus Saccharimonadota.
GGUUCUGUAGCUCAGUUGGUAGAGCAGAGGCCUGAAGAGCCUUGUGUCGCUGGUUCAAGUCCAGCCGGAACCACCA